AGGGAGAGUCGAGCGAACAGAAAGGAGUUGCUCUUUGACGUUAGCGGCGGACGGUGAUUAACACGUGAGCAACCUACCUUAUAGUGUGGGAUAACUCCUGGAAACCGGGGCUAAUACCCAUAAUCUGUUUACCUCAUGGUGAAACACUGAAAGACGGUUCUACGCAUGUCCGCUAUAGAUGGGUCCUAUGGCGCAUUAGCUACUCUGGUGAGGUAACCGGCUCACCAAGGCGACCAUUCGUAGCCCGACCUGAGAGGUGAUCUGCACACUGGACUAGACACGGACCAGACUCCUACCUGGAGGCAGAGCCGGGAAUCUUCCACAAUGGGCAAGCCUUGGAGCAACUCCAUAGAGGAAGAAUGAUUUCCGGUCUUAAACUCUGUUGUAGAAGACAUGUCCACACCAUCUGCUGUUCCUUGACGGCCCUUUGGGAAACCCUGGUUUAUUACGUGGCAAAGGGCAUGGGAAAUACCUGGGGAGGGAAUUUGCCGGAAUUAUUUGCCAAAGGGCCCCCCGUGGGUUUACCCUAAUUGAAUGCCCUGGUUAUUGGGAAGGGGUUUUCAACCGGGGGC
This 572-nucleotide ribosomal RNA is filed under the name Lysinibacillus sphaericus. RNAcentral's name for it is "bacterial SSU rRNA". It matches the Rfam family "Bacterial small subunit ribosomal RNA", at positions 51 to 674 of the family's 1533-position model. Lineage: Bacteria; Bacillati; Bacillota; Bacilli; Caryophanales; Bacillaceae. The record is from RNAcentral.